This 751-nucleotide long non-coding RNA is filed under the name Nicotiana benthamiana. Its description in RNAcentral is "long non-coding RNA (NBEN_LNC031225)". Lineage: Eukaryota; Viridiplantae; Streptophyta; Magnoliopsida; Solanales; Solanaceae. The record is from RNAcentral.
UGUAGAAGCGAAAAGUUUUUUCAUUUUGAUUAUUUUCUAUCCGCAAAAUGAUACAAUUAAAAUUGUUACAUGGUUUAUAGACAAGUAAAUUUAUUUAGUCAACAAAAUAAUAAAAUAGCAAGAUUAAUAUUAAGACUAGCUAUCGAAAUUAAAGAAGAUAACAAGCCUGGAACCUAACCCAAUGUCUCUGAGAGCAAACAUAAAGCUAACGAUAAAGUGCAAAUUAAAGUUGUUAAGUUGAGAGAAAAAUAAGAAAUAAAGCUUCCGUUUGCAGAAAGUUUCAUCGAAGACUUUGCUCUCAGCGGAGAAUAAGUGGUGUCUACAAACCAAGCCAGCAUCUUUUUUUAUCUACAAUAUGUGGAGCUUCCAUAGUUUGAAUUUUGAUUGCUGGUCUUUCCUUUUUGAGAGUGAAUCUCCACGUGCGAAUAGUCCUUAGAUUGUUCUUUGAUCUAAGGGAUUGAUAACUUUCCUUUGCAAUGCAUAUCUUCAGUAAUCUGAGCAGACACAAUUUCAGUAACCUAAAUAUCCUCAAAUCUUGGUCCUUCCUUCUUUAUUCUCAGUCAUCUGAGUUGUCAUAUCUUUUACAAAUCUCUUUAAUCUUAGACUUUCUUUUCUUGUUUUUGUUGACAAAUCUUUGCAUUCUUCUUUUCUUGUCUUAUUUCUUACAUGAUUGACAGACUUGCUCGCAUUCUCCUUUGCGUCUGGAACGAACCUACAAACAAAGAUAUGUUAUUUUUCAUCAUUAAAAUCU